UGUCAGAGAAGAAGAUUAAUGGUCC
Molecule: non-coding RNA, 25 nt
Filed under: Mus musculus (house mouse)
Lineage: Eukaryota; Metazoa; Chordata; Mammalia; Rodentia; Muridae
Source: RNAcentral